AACGAACGCUGGCGGCAUGCCUAACACAUGCAAGUCGAACGAUGCUUUCGGGCAUAGUGGCGCACGGGUGCGUAACGCGUGGGAAUCUGCCCUUGGGUUCGGAAUAACAGUUGGAAACGACUGCUAAUACCGGAUGAAGACGAAAGUCCAAAGAUUUAUCGCCUGAGGAUGAGCCCGCGUAAGAUUAGGUAGUUGGUGGGGUAAAGGCCUACCAAGCCGACGAUCUUUAGCUGGUCUGAGAGGAUGAUCAGCCACACUGGGACUGAGACACGGCCCAGACUCCUACGGGAGGCAGCAGUGGGGAAUAUUGGACAAUGGGCGAAAGCCUGAUCCAGCAAUGCCGCGUGAGUGAUGAAGGCCUUAGGGUUGUAAAGCUCUUUUACCCGGGAUGAUAAUGACAGUACCGGGAGAAUAAGCCCCGGCUAACUCCGUGCCAGCCGCCGCGGUAA
RNAcentral lists this ribosomal RNA (449 nucleotides) under uncultured bacterium. Its description in RNAcentral is "partial 16S ribosomal RNA". It matches the Rfam family "Bacterial small subunit ribosomal RNA", at positions 29 to 523 of the family's 1533-position model. The record is from RNAcentral.